Molecule: unclassified non-coding RNA, 421 nt
Filed under: soil metagenome
Description: partial contains 5.8S ribosomal RNA, internal transcribed spacer 2, and large subunit ribosomal RNA
Rfam family: 5.8S ribosomal RNA (bases 1-120)
Source: RNAcentral
GAUGAAGAACGUAGCGAAAUGCGAUACGUAAUGUGAAUUGCAGAAUUCAGUGAAUCAUCGAAUCUUUGAACGCAUAUUGCGCUCUUUGGUAUUCCGAAGAGCAUGCUUGUUUGAGUAUCAGUAAACACCUCAACCUCUUCUUGAUUUUUCAAAAGGAGGGGGGACUUGAGCUAUCCCAACAACCUUUACCGGUCGGCGGGCGGCUUGAAAUGCAGGUGCAGCUGGACUUUUAUCUGAGCUAAAAGCAUAUCUAUUUAGUCCUCGUCAAACAGGAUUAUUACUUUUGCUGCAGCUAACAUAAAGGAUAAUUGUCCUCUUUGCUGACUGAUGCAGGAUUUUACGACACUUUAUGUGUUGUUCAACUCGAUCUCAAAUCAAGUAAGACUACCCGCUGAACUUAAGCAUAUCAAUAAGCGGAGGA